Molecule: ribosomal RNA, 529 nt
Filed under: uncultured archaeon
Lineage: Archaea
Description: bacterial SSU rRNA
Rfam family: Archaeal small subunit ribosomal RNA
Source: RNAcentral
GGAUAACCUCGGGAAACUGAGAUUAACCCGCGAUAGGUCAAGAUUUCUGGAAUGGAUCGUGUCUUAAAUCUACAUGGCCCCUGGAUUGGACUGCGGCCGAUCAGGCUGUUGGUGAGGUAAUGGCCCACCAAACCUAUAACCGGUACGGGCUCUGAGAGGAGAAGCCCGGAGAUGGGCACUGAGACAAGGGCCCAGGCCCUAUGGGGCGCAGCAGGCGCGAAACCUCUGCAAUGGGCGAAAGCCUGACAGGGUUACUCUGAGUGAUUUCCGCUAAGGAGAUCUUUUGGCAGCUCUAAAAAUGGUGCAUAAUAAGGGGUGGGCAAGUCUGGUGUCAGCCGCCGCGGUAAUACCAGCACCCCGAGUGGUCGGGACGAUUAUUGGGCCUAAAGCAUCCGUAGCCGGUCGUGCAAGUCCUCCGUUAAAUCCAGCCGCUCAACGGAUGGGCUGCGGAGGAUACUACAGGACUAGGAGGCGGGAGAGGCAAGCGGUACUUACUGGGUAGGGGUAAAAUCCUUUGAUCCAUUGAAGA